UUAAUUAAACUGUAUCUGUGUGUUUACUUUUUGUGCAGCUUGCCUACCAGGUGGUGCAACUUCAGCAGCAGAUUAAAAUCAAAGAUAGUGUUCUGGAGGAGCAGCAUGCCAGGCAGCAGCAGGAGGAGCCUGUGCUUCAGGGUGCGUUUGAUUCCCGGCUAGCGCUGCAGGGGCGGGUGGAGACUGUCCGAGGGGACAUGGGUGCGUUGAAAUCGGAUUACGACGCACUGCUGGAGCGUCAGAAGGAGGCGGAGACUAAACUACGGGAGGAGAAGCUGCGGGGGGGAAUCCUGCUGCAGGAUGUCAUUCACCGGAAACAGCAGGAGGCCGCAAACAUGAACACACGCAACGAGCGCCGCUGCAGAGCUCGAGAGGCGGCGAGGUCGAAGGUAACCGUGGAAACAAGGU
Molecule: long non-coding RNA, 408 nt
Organism: Notothenia coriiceps (black rockcod)
Lineage: Eukaryota; Metazoa; Chordata; Actinopteri; Perciformes; Nototheniidae
Exons: 3
Source: RefSeq, a predicted model, not a curated record